GUGCUUACUUUGCAGUAUACAUACUAAAAUUGGAGUGAUGCAGAGUAGAUUAGCAUGGCCCCUGUGCAAGUAUGACAUGCAUAUUCAUGAAGCAUUUCAUAUUUUU
Myotis myotis is the source of this 106-nucleotide small nuclear RNA. The record is from RefSeq and is a predicted model, not a curated record. NCBI's taxonomy places the organism in Eukaryota, Metazoa, Chordata, Mammalia, Chiroptera, Vespertilionidae.